RNAcentral lists this ribosomal RNA (253 nucleotides) under uncultured bacterium. Its description in RNAcentral is "partial 16S ribosomal RNA". It matches the Rfam family "Bacterial small subunit ribosomal RNA", at positions 524 to 776 of the family's 1533-position model. The record is from RNAcentral.
UACAGGGGGUGCGAGCGUUGUCCGGAAUCACUGGGCGUAAAGGGCGCGUAGGUGGUUUGAUAAGGGUGUGGUGAAAGUCCGGGGCUCAACCCCGGAUCUGCCGUGCCGACUGUCAAACUCGAGGGCUGUAGAGGCAGACGGAAUUCCGGGUGUAGCGGUGGAAUGCGUAGAGAUCCGGAGGAAGACCGGUGGCGAAGGCGGGUCUCUGGGCCGAUACUGACGCUGAGGAGCGAAAGCGUGGGGAGCGAACAGG